UUUCACUGUGUCAAAAAAACAAAAAGCUCACUAUUCGCGUUCUCUCUCACUCUUCCUUCUCCUUCUCUUCGCUCAAUCUUCUUCAUCUUUCACUCUCUAUCACUGCACACUCAUUCAUCUUCCAAACCGUUCACUCUGAAUCCUUCAUCUUUCAAUUUUUCAAAUCGUUCACUCUUAAUCGAUCCAAUCUCGGCACAAUCGUUCAAAUCCCUAAAAUUUUCAAAUCUUACAAAUCGCUCGGAUCUGCUCUCAAUUGUUCGGAAUACCUCUGAAUCAUCCCAAAUCGCUAUCUAGUUUGUGUUAAUUGAAUUAUAUCUAUCAUAUUAUUUACAGGAUUGUAUUUUUAUGUAGAGAUAGUUGAACUUUAUGCUUCUAGGGUUCUAAUUGAAUUAUAUCAUUUGAUUCGAUGCAGAUUCAAUAUGAAAUGUUGAUUAUUGCUGGAUUUGGGUCAAGUUCCUAUACACAAGGUAAGAAAGGAAGGAGAGUUUGAAAUUUACUUAGAUCUAAUUGUUGAACUGUUUUUAGUUAUAUUAAGUUAAUUUACAUGCUUACUUUGUUACUUUUACGAAAAAUCGUGUUCAAUCUGUUUAAUAAUCUUUGUGUUUGUUGUUUACUUUUCUGCUAGAAGCAUUUGAAUACGAUUUUAUGAAUUUCUGCUCUUGGAUAUAAGAAAAUCGGAAACGAGGGGUGCUGAUGAAUUUCUCAAUUCGGUAAAUAAUAAAAAUGACUAUGACUGGUAUGUCGUACCUCUCAAUUCCCAUGAUCCAUAUAUUUUGUUCAUCAUGUUUAUCUUUACAGUAUUUUUUAGAAACAUGAUUGAUGGAGGUUUGGUGCUUUUGGUUGGACAUACAACGAUAGAUUUAUAGGUUAUGGUUCCUAGAGCAUUUUCUCAUGUAAAAGUCAUGGUUUGGUUGACGGUAGUAGAUGUUUAUUGAACACUGAAGUUGUCUUUAUGAAAUAAAGCAUUUUUUUCUCUUGUUCUGGUUCUUAGCUCCACGGGCUUCAUUUUCUAACUUGAAAUAUUAUUAUGUUAGUAUCUGAUAAUGUAUUUUAAACACAAGCACCAUUCUCCCAUUGAUCAUACUCACUAUAUCAUUCCUAAUGUUAUUUGCUUCUAUUUCCAUAUUAAACUAGUUGAUGUUUCAUAUAUAUAUAUGCAAAGAACAUGCAACACGAAUACCUAAAAUUAUCAUUACUAUUUGCUUCUCUUGUUCUGGUUUUUUUUUUUGUCUGCUACUAUUUGUGUGACUAGCAUGUGUUCCAAGUUAUUUUUUUUUUAUGAGAAUCGCGGAGCGGUAAGAACAAAACAAUUAGAGCCGAUGGUGGAUAUGGUGGAAAGACGCCACAAUCGGGGUGGGAAAACCGAUUGAUAAGUCGCGAGGACGCCACAACCGGCUAUGGAGGCUCCGGUUGACAAGUCAAAGGUUAGCACCACGGCAAGCCGAUAAGCUAAAAAUAGGGUUCAGAGAACCAAAGAGAAUAAAUCCCAUAUUUUUACUCAAUCCAAAAACUUCCUUUAUUUCAUAGAAGAACUUACAAUGUAUAGAGCUUCUUGCUAAGUAGCUCAAUAGUCCUAAUUAAUUCAAAUAAAACUUAUAAAUUAAAUUUAAUUAAAAAUAAAACAAAUAAAUGGCAUAUUAGCCUUACAAUUAUUUUUCUAAAAGAAACCACUUGUCCACGUGAGCUGCUUGAUCUUCUCAAAUUGCAAUGGAUGAUAAUUAAUGCCAUGAUAAGAUUGUGAGUUGCUCCAAGUAAAUGUGAUGAACCAAUUACUAUUAGCAAACGUAGAAAUAAUUGAUAUGAGUGGCUAUUGGCAACUUAUGAUAAUUAACUCUCCACUUAAUGUAUCAAAGAACCAAAAAGGCAUAAAAUAAUAGGCAAUGAAUUUUCAAGGCUAGUAAUAUUUUUAACAUGAAUUUGAACCAAUAUUGAAAUUAAUUGGUUCUUUUUAUUCCAAUAUUGAAUCAAUUCUUCUUGUAAGAGGAGAUCAUAUUAGGAUCACAUCAUUUUGACCAAUGUGAAUGCCCCUGUAUCUCAUUUCCAGUUUUCCACCAUUUUGCAGCAAUACCUUGAUAUUGCAAAAAGAUAUGAUCUCAUCCUGUGUCUCUUGCUAUAGGUUUGAUUUUCCUUUAUCUAUAUCAUGUGUGCAAACCAUGCUUUCCCCGAACUGGAGAUUACAAAUUACUAAUAAUAAUUACACUAAAAAGUGUACACGUGGAGAUAAAAUGACCAACACAUCACUGAAAAGUACUCCACAUAUUUUCCAAAUCCAUGUCCCAUGUUAAAUUACUAACUUUUAAUUCAACAAAAAGUACAUUUUUUAGCUAGAUUGAUGCCAAACUACUUAAAGUCUGCAUAGGAGACUCAGACUUGAGCAUGGCAUAGGGCUAAACUAUUCUAUACGAUAUAUAAUCUUAAUUGCAAUCAUAGUUUUCGACGUCUGUUCCAUUUCUUGCAUUUGGACGAGACUACUCACAUGAUUUGAUGUCUGAAGAUUGCUUGUGUGUAAAAUGCUUGUGAGUGCCUAAGUUGAACUAGUAGCAGUACUUUUAGUUUGCUCCAAACAUACUUCCAUGAUUUGAGUAUUUAUAACGAAUCAGUAUAUUGAGAAAGUGAAUAAAACAUCAAUGUUGGUUUCCAUACAUCUUAAGUGAUUAAAAAAUUCAUAUCUAACUGAAACAUCAAUGUUGAUUGAGAAAGUGAUUAAGAAACUCUGUUCCAUUUGCAAAAGGCAGCAGAUUUAGAAAUUGAGGCUUACCUGUUGCUGGAUGAACUGACAUUGAAGAUCAGUACUCUAUAUAGUGUAUUGUUUCAAGUCAAAGUUUAUAUAGUACUAAUCUAGUGUAUUGCUUCUUUCAAUUUUAUAGGAUAUAUUCCUUGUUGUAAUUGUUACAUUUUCUUGCAUCUUUAUCAAUUGCUUGUAAUAACAACAUAAAAGUUUGAUUUAUGCAGGUCUUCUUCUUUGGAACUAAAUGAGGCAUCAUUGGGUUGGAAAUAAAAGGUCCAAGCGCUCUCGGAUGAAUGUUUAUCAACACAUGAUCAAUCAUGGCUUUCUAAAAGGUUACAUUCGUUGGAUCUUUCAUGGUGAGAAAGUUAUCCCUUCCAACUCUCAAAGUACAUCUGAAGUAGAACAUGAGAUUUAUCAGUUAUCAUGACAUGGAUGCAUUGAUUCAGAAUUUCAUGAAUAUCCACAUGGAUUCUUGCAUGAAUUUUGGCUUUUACUUCAUGACGACAUUCUUUGUUUUUUUCAAUUCUGUGGCUUAUUAUUAUAACUGUGUUUUCAGAAUUCCAUGAAUAUCCCACAUGGCAUCUUGCAUGAAUUUUGGCUUUUACUUCAUGAUGAUGACAUGUAUAAUCCUAUGCUACAGAAGAAGCCACCCUCUAAUCAGGUGAUUAAUGGUUUUAUCACUUUUAUUUCUUAUCAUUUUCUGUGGAAUUUGCAUGAUGUUAAAGGAGGGAGCGUUUUUGAACAGAGGAUCUAAACAAUUUGGUUUUUGAAAUUUUAAGUACAAUAAGGAGUUGCUGUUACUCAAUGUUGUGUAAUUAAUUAUUUAGAGUUUCUUAAUUGUUAUCAUCGUUUAGGUUCCAAAUGCCUCUAUCUAGUGCCCCUUGCCAAACGAAUCAUCUUAAUCCAGACACUAAUGAAGAUGAUGGCACUUAUGAACAUGAACAAGAGGAAGAUUAGAAGCAUUUUUGUCUUGGAGUAAAAUUGAAACUCAAGUGGAUAAGAUCCAAGAUUUUUGUAAUUUUUUAGAAUUUUUUAUGACUUUACAUUUUCUUUUAAAUAUUACCUGAUACUUUUAGUACUUUUUUUUAGUUUUACAUGUUUGUAAGACUUGGUGAUAAAUGUUUAAAUAUGAUUGAAGGGUUCAUUUGAUUUUGUUUCAUAAA
This 3891-nucleotide long non-coding RNA is filed under the name Trifolium pratense (red clover). RNAcentral describes it as "long non-coding RNA (TPRA_LNC003886)". Lineage: Eukaryota; Viridiplantae; Streptophyta; Magnoliopsida; Fabales; Fabaceae. The record is from RNAcentral.